GGCCACCAGUCUGACAGCCACCUGAAGGCAGAGGGAGCCUUAAAUCUGCCUCCAGCCGUGAAGCAGGCAAACAAGCCCCACGCUCAGCAGAGCCCACGCUCCACUGGUCCCAUGUGACAGAGCAUGUGACUGGGCUUUUCUAGUCUGUCUCUAAGGUACUGAAUGGCCCGUCACACUGGAUGAACAGCGGGAAGCGGUGAGAAAGAUUCACGGUGCUGCCCGGAGCCUCCGAAAACCCUGAUCCCUUUGCUGGACUGCUGCUUGCCCCCCUCUGGACGGGGAGCACCCAUCACCCUUCAGACCCCUGUGUGGCGUCCUUGAGGACUGAGGUCCCGUCACCUACACAGCUUUCCUUCACGACGCUGGUCAAAGCCACUGAAAGACGGGCCGGCUCUCACGAAGGGGCAGUCCCUCCACGCCUGAGCCCUGGCCUCUGGCCUCUCUGAGCUCCGGCUUUCUUGUGAGUGUCACGGGACUCCUAACGCCCUUCGGUGAUGAGCUGUUCUGAGAGGGAGAGGCGACAAUGCGUGCAAAGCACCGCCGAGCACGGCGCCGGCCUCAUACCAUCCGCAUGAUGAACAGCUGACAGCGGGGGGCGCACGGUUUCCAGGUCAGGUGGUCCUUGUCACCAGCCCCAGCCUUGCUGUGCAUUAACCACUCGGUUCACU
This is a long non-coding RNA of Artibeus jamaicensis (Jamaican fruit-eating bat), 668 nucleotides long. RefSeq lists it as uncharacterized. The record is from RefSeq and is a predicted model, not a curated record. NCBI's taxonomy places the organism in Eukaryota, Metazoa, Chordata, Mammalia, Chiroptera, Phyllostomidae. The transcript has 3 exons.